GCCAGACUCCUACGGGAGGCAGCAGUGGGGAAUAUUGCACAAUGGGGGGAACCCUGAUGCAGCGACGCCGCGUGGGUGAAGAAGCGCCUCGGCGCGUAAAGCCCUGUCAGCAGGGAAGAAAAUGACGGUACCUGAAGAAGAAGCCCCGGCUAACUACGUGCCAGCAGCCGCGGUAAUACGUAGGGGGCAAGCGUUAUCCGGAUUUAUUGGGUUUAAAGGGAGCGUAGGCCGGCUUUUAAGUCAGCUGUGAAAGUCCGCGGCUCAACCGUGGAAUUGCAGUUGAAACUGGAGGCCUUGAGUGCACACAGGGAUGCCGGAAUUCAUGGUGUAGCGGUGAAAUGCUUAGAUAUCAUGAAGAACUCCGAUCGCGAAGGCAAGUGUCCGGGGUGCAACUGACGCUGAGGCUCGAAAGUGCGGGUAUCAAACAGGAUUAGAUACCCCUGUAC
RNAcentral lists this ribosomal RNA (446 nucleotides) under uncultured bacterium. RNAcentral's name for it is "bacterial SSU rRNA". It matches the Rfam family "Bacterial small subunit ribosomal RNA", at positions 330 to 793 of the family's 1533-position model. The record is from RNAcentral.